UUCUUUUUUUCUAGUAAAAGCUCACCUUUUAGCUAAAAACCUUUACCUAGGUACGUAGGGGGGUGCUGACCUUAUAUUUGACCUUUGCUACACACAGAUGCUGUAUUAAAGAGCCAUGCAUAGCCUGCUUUGGACAGCAGGCAUAACACUAGCCUAUAGUAGGUUACAGUUGAACAGCUACAUGUUCUACUCUGGACUUCAAUCUGGCAAAAGAAAAAUAGUCCACUCAACACUGAACAGCCCUAGAGUAGAACAUGGAAUUAUUGUAUUAUUUAGCUACAACAAAUCCUACAUGUACUAGAAA
Long non-coding RNA from Halichondria panicea, 304 nucleotides. RefSeq lists it as uncharacterized. Lineage: Eukaryota; Metazoa; Porifera; Demospongiae; Suberitida; Halichondriidae. The transcript is spliced from 2 exons. The record is from RefSeq and is a predicted model, not a curated record.